UUUCCGUAGGUGAACCUGCGGAAGGAUCAUUCACAAUAAGUGUUUUUAUGGCACUUUAAAAUCCAUAUCCACCUUGCGUGCAAUGUCAGGGUUGAUUUUUCUCUCGAGAGGAUCAGCCCCAAACAUCAACUAUAUCUCAACUCUUUGUCUGAAAAAUAUUAUGAAUAAAACAAUUCAAAAUACAACUUUCAACAACGGAUCUCUUGGCUCUC
Molecule: unclassified non-coding RNA, 212 nt
Filed under: plant metagenome
Description: partial contains small subunit ribosomal RNA, internal transcribed spacer 1, and 5.8S ribosomal RNA
Source: RNAcentral